UCAUGCUGAACUGAAAACACCAGUUCUCAUUCAAUCGUCAAAGUUAAGCAAUGUCUAGCCCAGUCAGUACUUAGAUAGGGGGACCACUUGGGAAUACCAGGUACUGUAA
Acanthosepion pharaonis is the source of this 109-nucleotide non-coding RNA. Lineage: Eukaryota; Metazoa; Mollusca; Cephalopoda; Sepiida; Sepiidae. The record is from the annotation of a GenBank genome assembly.